This 89-nucleotide transfer RNA is filed under the name Streptomyces filamentosus. Its description in RNAcentral is "tRNA-Leu". Lineage: Bacteria; Bacillati; Actinomycetota; Actinomycetes; Kitasatosporales; Streptomycetaceae. The record is from RNAcentral.
GGCCGUCGGGGGUCCCGGGGCCGGCGGCGGAGAGCCGCUGGGCGAGGGGGUAGAACUCGCCGGUGGAGUUCCGCGCCUCGCUGAGGCCG